GACAAGGGCACAAGAACAAGUGGAUUUCAGUCACUGAUCUGAACAUUACUGCAGAGAGGAUGUCACCUAAACCAACAACAACAGCUUCAUUUCACACCAGCGACAGCAGAUACUGCAUCUGACAGAACCGUCUCAUCUUCAUCAUCAUCUUCACCAUCAACAUCAGUGUUAAUGUUUUUCUCAUCGACUGCUAAUGCAGUGUCAUCAAAACCACAAACAGAUUUCACAUCAAUCUUUAUACUGUCAGUUAUGG
RNAcentral lists this long non-coding RNA (253 nucleotides) under Sinocyclocheilus grahami. RNAcentral describes it as "lncRNA (ENSSGRG00000019364.1)". Lineage: Eukaryota; Metazoa; Chordata; Actinopteri; Cypriniformes; Cyprinidae. The record is from RNAcentral.